RNAcentral lists this ribosomal RNA (399 nucleotides) under uncultured bacterium. RNAcentral's name for it is "bacterial SSU rRNA". It matches the Rfam family "Bacterial small subunit ribosomal RNA", at positions 358 to 774 of the family's 1533-position model. The record is from RNAcentral.
GGAAUCUUGCGCAAUGGACGGAAGUCUGACGCAGCGACGCCGCGUGGGCGAAGACGGCCUUCGGGUUGUAAAGCCCUUUUCUGGAGGAAGAGGGAGGACGGUACUCCAGGAAUAAGUGUCGGCUAACUACGUGCCAGCAGCCGCGGUAAUACGUAGGACACGAGCGUUAUCCGGAUUUACUGGGCGUAAAGCGCCUGUAGGCGGUUCUUCAAGUCGUUUGUGAAAGCCCUGGGCUCAACCUGGGGAGGCCAAGCGAUACUGGAGGACUUGAGGGUGACAGAGGGGAGUGGAAUUUCCGGUGUAGCGGUGAAAUGCUUAGAUAUGACACAGAACACCGAUCGCGAAGGCAGCUUACCAAGCAACAACUGACGCUCAUGCACGAAAGCUGGGGAUCAAACA